Molecule: ribosomal RNA, 369 nt
Filed under: uncultured bacterium
Lineage: Bacteria
Description: bacterial SSU rRNA
Rfam family: Bacterial small subunit ribosomal RNA
Source: RNAcentral
GUAGGGUGCGAGCGUUAAUCGGAAUUACUGGGCGUAAAGCGUGCGUAGGCGGUUCGUUAAGUUUGUCGUGAAAGCCCCGGGCUCAACCUGGGAAUGGCGAUGGAAACUGGCGGGCUGGAGUAUGGCAGAGGGGGGUGGAAUUCCGCGUGUAGCAGUGAAAUGCGUAGAGAUGCGGAGGAACACCGAUGGCGAAGGCAGCCCCCUGGGCCAAUACUGACGCUCAGGCACGAAAGCGUGGGGAGCAAACAGGAUUAGAUACCCUGGUAGUCCACGCCCUAAACGAUGCUCACUAGGUGUUGGGGAAGCGAUUCCUUGGUACCGUAGCUAACGCGUGAAGUGAGCCGCCUGGGGAGUACGGCCGCAAGGUUA